AAUGAACGCUGGCGGCAUGCCUUACACAUGCAAGUCGAACGGCAGCAUGACCUAGCUUGCUAGGUUGAUGGCGAGUGGCGAACGGGUGAGUAAUGCAUCGGAACGUGCCUUUUAGUGGGGGAUAACGUAGCGAAAGUUACGCUAAUACCGCAUAUUCUCUGAGGGGGAAAGCAGGGGACCUUCGGGCCUUGCGCUAGAAGAGCGGCCGAUGUCGGAUUAGCUAGUUGGUGAGGUAAAGGCUCACCAAGGCAACGAUCCGUAGCGGGUCUGAGAGGAUGAUCCGCCACACUGGGACUGAGACACGGCCCAGACUCCUACGGGAGGCAGCAGUGGGGAAUUUUGGACAAUGGGCGCAAGCCUGAUCCAGCCAUGCCGCGUGAGUGAAGAAGGCCUUCGGGUUGUAAAGCUCUUUCGGCUGGGAAGAAAUCGCACCCUCUAAUACAGGGUGUGGAUGACGGUACCAGAAUAAGAAGCACCGGCUAACUACGUG
RNAcentral lists this ribosomal RNA (490 nucleotides) under uncultured bacterium. RNAcentral's name for it is "partial 16S ribosomal RNA". It matches the Rfam family "Bacterial small subunit ribosomal RNA", at positions 29 to 507 of the family's 1533-position model. The record is from RNAcentral.